Molecule: long non-coding RNA, 4041 nt
Filed under: Homo sapiens (human)
Lineage: Eukaryota; Metazoa; Chordata; Mammalia; Primates; Hominidae
Description: HSALNT0160693
Source: RNAcentral
GCCAGCAAGAGAGCAGAAGCAGGAAGAAAGCCAGCCGGAAGACACCUACCCUGGCCGGAAGACACGUACCCCCGAAGAUCGAGAAAGAGGCUGUCCGGGUAGUAUGUAGCAGUCACGUCAGACUGAGACACUUCUUGUUUACAGGAGACCAUAAAACCCCUGCCCCAUCCUCAUUUGGUGCUGAGGCCGUUUUAGGCCUCAGCCCGCCUGUACCCAGGCACUCAUUAAAACAGCGUGUUGCUCCACAGGGCCUCGUGUUGUCUGUUGGCACGCUCUUGGGCUUGGAACCGAUACAAGAACCUUACAAUGAGGUGGAAGAGAGAAGCACGGCAGGAUUGUGCACAAAGUCUUGUCUGUUGUGGAAUGGAGUUUGGACCUUUCCCACCACUUUCAAGGAAGGGAAUGAAUUGACCUGGUUCACUUCCUAAGAAGGCUACUGUCUGUGUGGUGCUCCUAGAGGCAUGGGAGAGGAGUGAAGACAGAGAUGACCAAAGAAACACUUGGGGAAAGAAUGGAAGCGGCAUGUGUUAGCUUGGGAAAGGGAAACAUACCAGCAUCCGAGAUCUGGCCAUCAGGGAGAAUAACAAACACUGACGGUGGCAAGAUAAAGAGAAGAUUCGAAGAUGGCUCCAGGUCUCCAGCCAGGAAGAUGCUGAUGACAGCAGUGCCAGGAGUUGGAACAGGAAAUGGAAGCAGAUGCCUAAUGACUGCUUAGAGAAGGAAAGAAGGAAAACCCAAUGAAUCUAAAGAAUCGAGAUAGACUGAGUUCCCUACACCAAAUGGCUCACGUACGAAAGGAACCAUUGUCUUCUAAAAACUGACCCUUGGCUAUGUGUGCUGCCAGUCACUCCUGGGGGUUGGGGCAGACCAGGCCCACUGCUACCUCAUCUUCCUUCUAGCCUGAGCUUCUGUUGAUGUCAUCCCUGUCGGACCCUGGAUGAGAAAGAAAACGGGAACAACACGAGGAAGACGAGACAUCUUCCCCAGUGAGAAAUCUGCAAGUGUGCCAUUUUAGAAUGUUGGGUGUAAUGCCAGCCAUUGUUACAAUAGGACAUUGCAUUUUAUACCUGAGAUCACUGACUGGUUGUCAUCAGAUAGAAUCAUGUAGUCCCCUGUUGUACAAACAGAACAUUCUGAUGACUAUUCAUUAAGUGAAAUAUAAUGGAACACUUAAAGUGACCCCAAGAUUAAACCCUUAUUUGGGGUUUGUCUAAUGACUAAUGGUCACUACCACCAGUUUGGAGACAUUACAACAAAACUCUGCUGCUGACAAAAAUAUUAACCAUAAAUGAUGAGAAAUUUUCAGUUGGGACCAAAAGAACAUCUGGAGGCCAUUAAAGCAGGAGAAUUUUCCCUCUAUGUCCUGAUUGCCAAACUUAGAACCAACCACCCAGAAACUGUGGCCCUCAUGCUAACUCAAUGUUUAUAUUUCAUUAAAAACGAUUUCAAGGGUUUGCGUCUUGCACUUCAUGGCCCAACUCCCAUGCAUACAGCUUUUCAUCUCACUGAGCAUGUCCUGGAGCAGACGAGCAUUCCUCACCUCUUGGUUUCAGAAGAAGGAGCUUCUUGGGGAAUAAUUCCAGGUUCUUUUUUUGCAUCUAUAAUCUAAUCAAGAAUCUGUAGGUCCUACCAUCCUAGGAUAAAUGAGGAGAAGAAAACAAGGAUGCAAGACCCAACAAUAAAAAUAUUAGAAUUUUAAAAAUACUAUACUAGAGUUUGCUUUUAAAUACCUAGUAAAGCUACAAUAAGUCAUGAAAUUGAUGAAUGGAAAGUUAUAUAAUUUCAGCUGUAUAUUAGUUGCUUUUUGCUGCUAUAACAAAUCACCACAAACUUUGUGACUUAAGACAGAUGUAGCCAGGCACGGUGGCUCAUGCCUGUAAUCCCAGCACUUUAGAAGGCUGAGGCAGGCGGAUCACCUGAGGUCAGGCAUUCAAGACCAGCCUGGCCAAGAUGAUGAAACCUCAUCUCUACUAUAAAUACAAAAAUUAGCUGGGCAUGGUGGCACCUAUAAUUCCAGCUACUCGGGCGGCUAAGGCAGGAGAAUCAGUGAGUCGAGAUCACACCACUGCACUCCAGCCUGGGCAACAGAGCAAGACUCCAUCUCAAAAAAGGAAAAAACAAAACAAGACGGAUAUAUUACCUUACAGUUCUUGAAGUUAGAAGUCCAACACAGGUUGCACUGGACUAAAAUCAGGGCAUCAGCUGGGCUGCAUUCCUUUCUGGAGGUUCUAGGGGGAAAUCUAUUUCUUUGUCUUUUAGCUCCUUGCAGCUGCUCCAUUCCUUUGUUUAUGGCCUAUUCUCCAUUUUCAAAGCCAGCAAAGUUGCAUCUUUUUAACUUUUCUUCUGCAGGAAUAUCGCCUUCCAACUAUGGCAAGAAAAGGUUGUCUGAUUUUGAAGAUUUGUGUGAUUCAUUUAGGCCCACUAAAAUAAUCCAAGAUAAUCUUCCCAUCUCAAGAUUCUUAAUUUAAUCACAUCUGCAAAGUUCCUUACAAAAGCAACAUAUUCACAAAUUGCAGGGAUUAGGACGUGGACAUCUUUGGGGGAUCCAUAUUCUGCCUAUCACAAGCUAUUUCCAGACUCCAAGUAGUAAAGAGAGUUGAAAUUCAAAAGCUCAUCAGUCACCUUUUUUCACUGUCAUUCCUUUUAGCAUUGAGUUUUACCUUAGGAAAUAGGACAGAUGUUUUCAAUACCUAAAACCUUAAACAUAGAACAAUUUUACAAAUGUCAUGAAACCAGAAUGAAUCUCUUGGCUGAAAGUUUUUCAAUUUUCAAAGAACUAAUUUUAAUUUUACUAGUAAAUUUGAAAUGGAUCCAGCUUGCCUGCUGUACUUUUAUAUGAGACACUAAAUCACGGUUCUUUGGAAACGGCAACAUUGAAAGCAUAAACUGUCAUUUUCCCAGAAUGUGUGGAAGGGCGGAUGUGGUUGAUAUAAUGUGUUUCUUAACACAUCUUUUCACCCUGAGCUCACUCCCACCAUGUGUUUAUAUGCACUGCAGGGCAUACAGCAGCCUUGGUCGGUGCACGUGUUCGCAAGUAGUUUCGCCUAUUUCUCAAGCAUAUAUUCCUACGGGUGCCUAGCAAAUGCCUUAGCUGAGGACAAGGUGUCCAAGGAAUAAGUACUUGCUGCUGUUUUCCAACACACACCACAAUUUCGGCUGAUUCUCAGCAAAGGGCAUUUCUUCUACUCUGGGAUCUGUGAAUUUGCUCAUGGUUUUUAACAACCUGCAGCCCGGCUCAAGUCAUAGUCUGGAUCCCAAUUUGAAAUUAGCUACAUUUUAUUAGUAAGUGUCCAGAAAUGGCUUGGCGGGUCAUUUUCUGUCUUGUAAAAUGUGGUUCUUAUUGGCAGUAACAUGCUUUUUGGGCACUGACUCAUGUUCUCUCUUCAAGCAAAUGAUUCCUUCAGGAGGCACACGCUAUAUCUAGGUUUGCUGUGUGCAACACAUCAGAUCCUGGCCAUAGGGUGACUUAGCAAAGGUACAGGCAGUUUAUUGCACACCUAUGUACACUUCAGGUCCCGUGCUAAGAGUUUUAAGGGCAUUAUCUCAUUUAACUUUACAAAACCCUGUAAGAUAGAAUCUGUUAAUCAUCCCAUUUUCAGACGAUGAAAGCAAGAUUUAAAAUGACUUGCACAACCUCAUGAAACCGACAUGCUUGGGCUGGACUAUAUUGAGACUAGGUGAGGUGAGUGAGCACUCAGUUUGGUGCAAAAUGUAAAGGAAAGCCAAAAGGCUCAGUAAGCAAGGUAAAGGAUAUUUCAGUGCAAUUUUUUAAAAAUGCAAAAUUAGUGAAAACAUUCCAUAGUAAAAUAUUAAAAUGUGAAAAAAAGACAGACUCUGACCUUAUACUGGGACUCAGCCUUAAUCACCUGACUCUAAUCCUGGCCCUGCUGAAUCCUGUCCCUUCCCUGGCUGGAAUUUGAACCCAAGGCUGGCUGAGGCUGAAGCCCAUGUUUGUACCCACUACUCUAUAGGAUGCAUCUGCCUCCUCUGCCAGCAGGGCAGCUGGGAGGUACUUAAAAUGCUUUUCAACAAUGAUGACAG